This 579-nucleotide ribosomal RNA is filed under the name Rheinheimera sp. Man10. RNAcentral's name for it is "bacterial SSU rRNA". It matches the Rfam family "Bacterial small subunit ribosomal RNA", at positions 66 to 656 of the family's 1533-position model. Lineage: Bacteria; Pseudomonadati; Pseudomonadota; Gammaproteobacteria; Chromatiales; Chromatiaceae. The record is from RNAcentral.
GCGGGGUUUUCGGACCUAGCGGCGGACGGGUGAGUAAUGCGUAGGAAGCUACCCGAUAGAGGGGGAUACCAGUUGGAAACGACUGUUAAUACCGCAUAAUGUCUACGGACCAAAGUGUGGGACCUUCGGGCCACAUGCUAUCGGAUGCGCCUACGUGGGAUUAGCUAGUUGGUGAGGUAAUGGCUCACCAAGGCGACGAUCUCUAGCUGGUUUGAGAGGAUGAUCAGCCACACUGGAACUGAGACACGGUCCAGACUCCUACGGGAGGCAGCAGUGGGGAAUAUUGGACAAUGGGCGCAAGCCUGAUCCAGCCAUGCCGCGUGUGUGAAGAAGGCCUUCGGGUUGUAAAGCACUUUCAGCGAGGAGGAAGGGGUGGUCGUUAAUAGCGGCUACUCUUGACGUUACUCGCAGAAGAAGCACCGGCUAACUCUGUGCCAGCAGCCGCGGUAAUACAGAGGGUGCAAGCGUUAAUCGGAAUUACUGGGCGUAAAGCGCACGCAGCGGUUGGUUAAGUCAGAUGUGAAAGCCCCGGGCUCAACCUGGGAAUUGCAUUUGAACUGGCACUAGAGUAUGUGAGAG